CCUACGGGAGGCAGCAGUGAGGAAUAUUGGUCAAUGGGCGGAAGCCUGAACCAGCCAAGUAGCGUGCAGGAUGACGGCCCUACGGGUUGUAAACUGCUUUUAUACGGGAAUAACGCGCCUUACGUGUAGGGCUUUGCAUGUACCGUAUGAAUAAGGACCGGCUAAUUCCGUGCCAGCAGCCGCGGUAAUACGGAAGGUCCGGGCGUUAUCCGGAUUUAUUGGGUUUAAAGGGAGCGUAGGCCGCAUGUCAAGCGUGCUGUGAAAUGUCCGGGCUCAACCGCGCCCCGCAGUUGAAACUGGACGCCUUGAGUUCACAACAGGCAGGCGGAAUUCGUGGUGUAGCGGUGAAAUGCAUAGAUAUCACGAGGAACCCCGAUUGCGAAGGCAGCCUGCCGGGGUGCGACUGACGCUGAGGCUCGAAGGUGCGGGUAUCAAACAGGAUUAGAUACCCUUGUAGUC
This 459-nucleotide ribosomal RNA is filed under the name uncultured bacterium. RNAcentral's name for it is "partial 16S ribosomal RNA". It matches the Rfam family "Bacterial small subunit ribosomal RNA", at positions 338 to 795 of the family's 1533-position model. The record is from RNAcentral.